AAUCCACUUAUUGUAAGUUGCUUUGGAUAAAAGCCUCAGAUAAAUGACAUGUGAUGGAAUGUAAAAUAAGAUUAUAUAUUAUGACAGCUCGUGGGAAAGCAGGUUAUUCAAAUUAAUAUUAUAUUAACUGUAUCAUGAAUUGUUAGGUACUGUUGUUUGAGCAGGUUUACACACAGUGAUCAUCACAAGGACAUUUGUUAAUUAUCAGGUUUUUUCUUCUUGCUUUUACUUAUUUUAGGUCAAAAAGGUUAAGAACCUUAGAGGUUCACCGUCUUAUAUUAGCAUGUUAGCAUGAACACGUGUCUUAUGUUAGCAUGAAGGUUCUUUGUCCAACCGUCGGGCACCAGAAGCUCAGCAAUCUUCUCCCCAUCACAGCGUCUCCCACCUGAGUGAAGAUGCCUUCAGGUACACUCCCUUAUUUUCAUAGCUGAGGUUUCUCCUCUGCACGCUACCUCCGCCUCCCUCAGGGCCGGCGGUCUGAUCCCGUCUGUUGUUCUUGGCCUGUGGAGGACGACCUCCUCUUAAAUAUGUGCUCUUUGCACGAGAGGGGAGCCAGAAGAACGAGAAGAAAACUGACACGUCUGCAUUUAUUCUCCAUAUUGUUUUAGCUUUUUCAUGUUACUUCAACAACAUGGUGUCACGUUUGCUUCUUCUUCCAGCAAACAGAAAGUGACGUGUGCAGUGAGAAGAAAGUGAGCGGUGGUCUUGGUCCUGAUGGACCUCAGCCUCCUGCCCGAUGGAGGGGACACGGGGUCCUCAGGGCGUCCCGUUGUGGCCGCUAACAGCCAACAAGACGCCGUCCAGCCCGCUGGUCUCCAGACUCACCUGGUGGAGGUCACCUGUGUACUUUCUUUUAUUAUAGCGUUACGUGUUUAACACCAGGCGGUCAGGAGCGAGCGCAGCGUGUGACUCACUGAGCGCUGCAGUCAUGUGACAGUGAAAUCACCACGUGGAGACUUUGUCCACACGAGGGGGAACUUGCACCACGUCGCACCGCCCAGUCGGAGGAGGGUGCAGCAUAAUUCCUCCAUUUUAAAUUCCUGAGUAAGAAUCCUUGGUGAGUUAAAGCCCCUCGGGCGCCAAUCUGCCCUCAGACAGCGAGGCUCCAGAUGGGCGUCAGCCGCCAAUCACCGGGAGCUUCAAGCCCCGGCGUGCCGCCGAGAGGGACGUUACCGUGACGAUGAGAAACAACACACGGCGACUCACAGUGAGAUGAGGAUGAUGAUGAUGUAUCAAAAGGAGAAAGUGUGAGGAAGAAGAGAAGAAGGAAAGGAGUUAAGGAAAAGACAGUGGAGGAGACAAUGUGAGGAGAGGAAACGAGAGAGGAGCUGAAGCUUUGGGGGGUGGGGGUGGACGGGGGAGGAGCCUCGGAGCUGGUCGUUUUUCAACGGCGCCAUCUCGGAUGCCUCAAAGGAAGUGAGCGAGGUCCGAGGACGAAAGGUCGUAAGGGUCAGGACUCGCCCCAUCGACCUCUGACCUCUGACCAGCGUCACUGGAGGAGCUUUAGUUCUUCUAAGAUGCUUUUCUGUAGUGCAACAGUUUUACAGGAUGCGAAUGAAACAAACGUCCCAAUAGAUUAUUGACCGUCUAAAUGUGUUUGUGUUUUCAGCAGUAGAGCAAAGUACAUUUAGAGGUACUUUUACCUGAGGUUUCAGGGCUCUACAAUAAUUUAAAUUAUGUUUAUUUAACAUCUACAUGAAGAAGAAUUCACCAGAUAUUCUACUUUGUGAGUACAUUGCACUAACUAACUCUCAGCCAAACCCAGAUGUUUUGAUCAUUUGAAAAAACAAAGAUCUGAAACUUGAAGAUUUUAAUUAGAAAAUAUAAAAUCUGAAACCAAAAAAUAUAUAUUAUUACCCCCCAAAAAAACUGAGUUAAAAACUAUAUUCUACCCAGAAAUACUUUUUAUUUUUAAUGCAUUGUUUUAUUUUCCAAUGUUGAACUUCACAUCUGUUCUUCAAAUGAUCAAAACUUUAAGCCUGGAUUUGGUUCCAUACAGAACUUUUCAACUGUGGCUUUUUCCUUUAAUUGAGAGUAAAGGGUGUGAAUACUUUUCUCACCACUAGUGGGCAGUAUAACCCAGUACAAACCAAGUAUAAACCAGUACAAACCCAGUAUAACCCAGUACAAACCAAGUAUAAACCAGUACAAACCCAGUAUAACCCAGUACAAACCAAGUAUAAACCAGUACAAACCAAGUAUAACCCAGUACAAACCCAGUAUAAACCAGUACAAACCCAGUAUAACCCAGUGUGUGUUGUGUGCGUGUCACUGCUCUCAUAUAGUUAUAAAUGACCAUAUUUGGUCAUGUAAUUUACUUUAUUGAUCAUCAGUCUGAUAAUUAACGUUGAUGCAGAAAAAACACCUUAUUGCAAUAAAAAAAUAAUAACUUAACUAAAGUAAAUGACUGAUGAAAGGUCCUGAAAAUGAUUGUUAAUAAAAGAAACAUUUCAUUCAGUGAAGUAAAGACGUUUAUAUUCACAGUGCAGCAGACAGACGGGUGACAGGCAGCACGAUGUCAUCGCUGACGUGUAACAUCUCAGCUGGAUGAAUGUUACACACUGUUGCUCCACAAUGACAUCAUCACUGUGGUGUGUGUGUGUGUGUGUGUGUGUGUGUGUCUAGCUAAAGUGACCCAGCCUCCUCAGCACCAGGCUGUGAUCGGUCUGCUGACUCUCACGUUCCUGUUGUUCUGGAGGUGAAUCGCUCUGCAACACACGCAAGACUUUACAACCAGGAAGUGAGACCAGCGCGUAAAGACCAACGUGAAGACGCAGGAACACGUCUCGGCCUCCAGUCGAGGUCUCUUCAGUGGGGAUGUGCUCACGGCUCAGGUCUGCAUGGUCCUGGUUCUGUGGACGUCCUCGGGGACCCUGCUGCUCAGUCGUUGGGGACGUGUUCCCGUUCCGGGGGAACCGACCGCAAAACCCUCAAAGGUCCGAUUGGGCUAAAAUGAAAUAAAAUGAAUUGAAAUAUUCUAAAGGAGCUUUGUCACAAUCCAAAGCGUGUACUAACGUGUACUACUAGCAUGUACUAACAUGUACUACUAGCGUGUACUAACGUGUACUAACGUGAUCAGAUUUGAAUUAUGCAGAAUUUCUGUCAACUCAAAUGAUCAUUUUCACAUUUUGUCACAGAAAGUGUUGGAAAGUAAGAACUUUUUGUUCAUGUGUCAAAUAAAAUAUUAUUUUUAACGAUGCUUGUUUCACUCUCCUGGUGGUGACGUCUCACAGGAGGACACGUGGGAGGACACAUACCUGUAGAUUAUUGUUAUAUCGGACGGACAGACGACAUCUCGUGAUGAAAGUUGUGCUAAAAAGAACAUGUGAGGAGAUCCAGUUGAUUACGUGACAUUAAAACGAUCACAGCUGCACUGUGGUAUCAUUUAUUGAUCACGGUGGUUCUACAAUAUUCUCAUCAUGUUAUUGAUUACGUAGCUCCAGAGUCAUGGCUGUAACCCGGUGACCCUGAAUGUUGAUUUGAGAGCCGGGUGUUUUAUUUCUAACGUCCGCUUCCUGUCAACGCUCGGCGGUGCGUUUGACUUGUCGUCGGGGGGCCGGUCGCUCGGGGCCCAGAGGCCUCUGGGACGCUGCGGGUGAGGAAUAUUACAGGAAGAGGGCGACGGGGGCGAGCUGCUGACGUCCAGCCGUGGUCACCCGCUUAGUCAGAGACAGGAAGUCCUGUUGGUUUUACUCACAGGGAACCCAAAGCAAACACAGCUGGGAUUGGUCAGGUCCCUCCCCCCCAGGCCUCUGCUCCACCAAUCACGUGGAGGCGGAAAAUGACGAGCAGAGCGCCGUCUGUCCGUCUGGCGCCCACAUUUAACCCCUUAAUGAGUCACGCCUUCAAAAUAAAGUACCGUUUCAAACCAAACAAAACAACGGCUUUAAAGGUCUUAUUCAUUUCAAUGUGCUUCAUGUCAACAUUACUUUGCCGUCCCAACUAAUAAUCAAUCGUCAAUAUUCAAUCAGUCAAGAUCACUCAUAAGGAAGAAUGCGUCAAAAUAAAGUUCCUUGUGGGCUUUUGUUUUAUGUUUCAGGGGAAGUUUCUUCUCUCAGAGCCAGAAUGUUUCUGUAUUAUUCCAUAAACACAGUGACCGUUUAUGACUGUGAGACGGAACCUUCACAGAAGCUUCUUUAUUCUUUCUUUCCAAAAUGAGUUUCAAAGGAUUUGAGGGUUUAUAAUUAUACAUGAACUAUUGUUUUCUACUCCAGCGUUUGCUUUAAUAUUCAGUGAUUUACAAGAUUUAGCUGACGGAUAUUUAAUCUACAGCGGCAACAAACGUUGUCAAAGAAAGAAGCCUGAAAUGAUGCGUUGAGGAUAUUGAAGUUUGAUGGACGUUAAGUAGUCCUUUUGUUUUGUAAUCCUUUAUUGUAUCCUAGCAACAUGGUAGUGAUGAAUAAAUAAUAAGACGUU
This is a non-coding RNA of Gasterosteus aculeatus aculeatus (three-spined stickleback), 4416 nucleotides long. Lineage: Eukaryota; Metazoa; Chordata; Actinopteri; Perciformes; Gasterosteidae. The record is from RefSeq and is a predicted model, not a curated record.